CGGCAGGCCUACACGAUGCAAGUCGCGGGGCAGCACGGGUAGCAAGUACCUGGUGGCGACCGGCGCACGGGUGCGUAACGCGUAUGCAACCUGCCCCCAUCAGGGGAAUAGACCCGCCGAAAGGCGGAUUAAUGCCCAUAGGCCCAGGGCGCCGCAUGGCGCUAUGGGUAAAGCUCCGGCGGAUGGGGAUGGGCAUGCGUGCCAUUAGCUAGUUGGGCGGUAACGGCGCACCAAGGCGACGAUGGCUAGGGGGUCUGAGAGGAUGGUCCCCCACACUGGUACUGAGACACGGACCAGACUCCUACGGGAGGCAGCAGUGAGGAAUAUUGGUCAAUGGGCGCAAGCCUGAACCAGCCAUGCCGCGUGCAAGGGAAGACGGCCUUAUGGGUUGUAAACUGCUUUUACAUAAGACUAACCGUAUAUUUGCGAAUAUACCUGAAUGUAUUAUGAGAAUAAGGAUCGGCUAACUCCGUGCCAGCAGCAGC
RNAcentral lists this ribosomal RNA (485 nucleotides) under uncultured bacterium. RNAcentral's name for it is "bacterial SSU rRNA". It matches the Rfam family "Bacterial small subunit ribosomal RNA", at positions 40 to 518 of the family's 1533-position model. The record is from RNAcentral.